CCUGGCGGCCGUAGCGCGGUGGUCCCACCUGACCCCAUGCCGAACUCAUAAGUGAAACGCCGUAGCGCCGAUGGUAGUGUGGGGUCUCCCCAUGCGAGAGUAGGGAACUGCCAGGC
Molecule: ribosomal RNA, 116 nt
Filed under: Escherichia coli
Lineage: Bacteria; Pseudomonadati; Pseudomonadota; Gammaproteobacteria; Enterobacterales; Enterobacteriaceae
Source: RNAcentral